Molecule: long non-coding RNA, 1346 nt
Organism: Aegilops tauschii subsp. strangulata
Lineage: Eukaryota; Viridiplantae; Streptophyta; Magnoliopsida; Poales; Poaceae
Source: RefSeq, a predicted model, not a curated record
UUUAUGCACCAUCCGGACCAUCACGGACAGCUCCUGUUGAUGUGUUAAUGCGUGCCCCCUUGUUUGGCCCACAUGUCAGUCAAAUGCUGUCGAGAAAAUAAAAAAGAGAAGGGCGCGCGCGGGGAGAUGAAGUUGACCAGCCAGCCAAAAAAAAAGGCAAAGUCCAAGAGCGCGCGGAGGUGCAAAAUUUUAAGUCGCCGACGCGCGGGUGGCAAUAUUUUUGAGCCAGCCCAUUUAACUCCAUGGUCCACUCCCACCUAACCCUAAUUCCCAUUCUCUCCCAUUCCCUCGGCCGCCGCCACUCCUAUCCUUCUCUGCCGCUCCACACCAGCACCGGAGACAGCACAGAACCACCCUUACCUCUCCCGAUCCACCACUCCGUGCCCGCCUCCAUCCAUCAUCUGUCCUCUUCCUUCUCCGUGUCCGGUGAACAAGCACGGCGAGCUCCGAAGGUCACCUCCUACGACGCGGAGGCGCGCGUGGGUGGGGCUCCUGAGAUCCGUGGUAGUGUCGACCAGACGGCAACGACGGCGGCGUCCGCGAAGAUGCGAGAUCCGUCAUCACGGCGGCGUCCGCGAAGAUGCGAGAUCCAUGGUGGUGGCGUGCCGAGGUGAGGUACAUGAUGUGGCGACACCGCCACAGAUCCAAAGUACAGCCCUUGUGGCUGGGUCCAGUUAUCCGUCAGCCACGCCGCCGUCGGUCCCCUCGUCGUUGCGGAUGUCUUCUCCAUCCGUGCAGAGGUGAUGGAUUUUGUACAACUGUAUUUCUGGAAAUGCGUGUACACAGAAUUACAAUCUGAAGGAGCGAUGGAAGUGAAGAUUGCGCGCUUUUAUUUAAGAUUACUAAUAGUAAAUGGUAUAUUGUUUUUGCUUCAGAUUUAGGAGUGUUAGAUCGGCUACAUAGUGCAUUUGUUCAGUCUCAAAUUGCUAGUGUUAUUACUAGCAUAUUCUCUAAUUCUUGGUAUUAUUCAACAUCUACUCUGUCUCAAUUUUGUAUCACAUCUCAUAUUGAAUUGUGGAUCAUCAUUUUGCUUAAAAUGGUCUUGCCUUUGAGUGUUUUGAUUUUAUGCAGGUUUGGCAGUUAAUCUGUGUUCCUGGAGAUUGAACUUUUUCAGCGAGAAUUAUUUGGGUUCGGAAGCUGCCCUGAAGCGGUGCUGAAGUGUUGGAGACUAAAAAUCUGCUAGUAGUGCAUUUUCUUUGAAGCCAUGUUACUCUUUUCUUUAACAAAAAUGCUUAAAGCGCUUUCUAGAUAUGCUUGUGAUGUUUUGAAGUCAUGUUUGAACACUGUAUUGUCAUGUGAACAAUUGAUAUUUUUGAAUGAAUAUAAUUUGGUUGUCCUAUUGUAAA